Molecule: long non-coding RNA, 1234 nt
Organism: Podarcis raffonei (Aeolian wall lizard)
Lineage: Eukaryota; Metazoa; Chordata; Lepidosauria; Squamata; Lacertidae
Exons: 2
Source: RefSeq, a predicted model, not a curated record
UAAUUCCGGGAUUCUCCUGUAGGCCAAUCAGGUUGCGGAUUCACUUCCAUCUGGAGUUGGAUUGGGUGGCUCCUGCGGACCAAUCAGACUGCUGCAUUCUGAAUCCUAUUGUUCUAGGACCAAUCAGACUGCUGCAAUUUGGAUCCUAUUCAACUCAGUACACAACACAGCCUUACAGUGUUAUUCUAAAGUCUUAUUCUUGAAUACUUUUGAAACCUUCCCAAGCUACUUAUUUUGGGCAUGUGCUUGCCUUGCUAUAUUUAAGCAAAACCACGAUUGCUAAUUCCGCCCGAAAGGAACCUUGAAAUCACACAGGGAAUGGAGGCUGCAAAAGAUGUUUAUUUUUAAAUUAAGAUAAGUUAAUUGAAGAGAACGGCUUUGCCAAAUAUACGCUCGACUCCCAGAACCGAACGAGUACACUUCAUUCUUUCCCGCUACCCUCCACGAGGCAGGCUGGGACUACACUUCCCAGCGUUCAUUGCUUCUGGGUCCUCACCUUCAGGAUUAGCCAAGGCAGCCUUACCUGGUUGUCAUUGCGUCUGAAGCAUUACGUUAGCACAGAUUACGACUUUGUUUUGCAGCAUAACAAGAGGAAUAUCUUCUGUCGUCUGAGGGAGCCUUCUGAGAAUCAGCAGCGGGGUCCCUCGAGCCUAAGAAAGUGACGCUUCUAUCCCGGCGCUACACUGGGCGCCUCUGCUGCUCUGGGGGCCUCUCGUCGACGACGGCGCUUUAGGAAACGUCACGGUCGUUCCGGUUUUUCAAAAUGGGCGCGGUGUCGGCGGCAGUUCGCGUCCUGGGAGCCGCUCCUGCCUAUCGGGGGGCUCCGGUCUCCCUCACCUUUCCUUCGUAGGCUUGCUGGGCCGAGGCGCCCAAGAAUUCUGCGAUACUCCGAACCGGCCCUCGUUCGCAUUCAAAAUAAAAUUUAAAACGAAGCCAAGCAAGUUUCCACAAAGCUUCCCUACAGAGUCUGGGGGCCCUGUCAAACAUUGAAGCCUGCAUCCAUCCAUGGCCACAGAGUUUGUGCCCUCGGAGGUUGCCCAAGAUUAGGUGGACGAAUCUUGUGCCCUGCAACCCUGACCUCUUACACCUGCAGCACCAGAUAACACAGCUCACAAUGUCUGAUAAUUCCUCUCUAAAUAAGCUUGGGGGGGGGGCAGGGAUGAGAGUAAAUGAAAGAUCCAUUGUGAAAGUGUUGGAUACACCCAGUUCAAAAAUUAUAUGGAUGCUUUCCUGA